Molecule: small nucleolar RNA, 114 nt
Filed under: Leishmania donovani
Lineage: Eukaryota; Euglenozoa; Kinetoplastea; Trypanosomatida; Trypanosomatidae
Description: H/ACA box snoRNA LD4Cs1H1
Source: RNAcentral
AUGAUGGCCUUUCCUCGACCGCUGUCUCCGCUGCUUUUUGCGCCACAUAGACGAUCACCGCGCGUGUGCGCACGCGUGCGUGUGCGUUGGUCGAACAAAACGCAUCAGAGAGUG